UUUUACCGAUACCAACGCUUCAACGUUUCCCCCUUUGAUUUUGGACAAUUACGCAAUGUUAACGUGUUGUCGCACAAGAAAAUGCGUCUACCGGUCGUCAUUAUUUCGCGACGGACGUUUAUUGCAUCACCACUGAAGGGCGACAAACCUCUCCGUUAGUUCAUCUUAUUUCACGGGCUCUGGUCUGCGUUUUAUGAGCUGACAUGAGAAACUUUACACGGUCCAUGCAUCCGUUUUACUAACCGCUAUAUCCUCACAAGAGUCGGGGGGAGUGCUGGGGCCUGUGUGAGCCAUCUGAGAGGCGGAAGACGUUAUUACACUCCGCCAGUUAGUCCUAUCGACACCUGUCAGUGAGUGGGACCUGAACCCACGCUGCCUGCACCUAAGUCAGUUAAGUGUAGCGCUAUACCAUGAUUAACUCCACGGUCUUGCAGUUUUUCAGGAAAACAAUAUCCUUAAUUUCAUAUAAUUGUGUGGGGCGGAAAACGAGCAAAAACAAAAACGUCAAUUCCGCAUUGUAAUCUUUCAUUGAAUCCCUGAUUCCUUUGAAUCCAGGAUGAAAUUCAGAGUAAAUGGUAAUUUCUCAUUUCACACAUAUCGUCAAAGAGCGUUUUGAUCACAAUAUGACAUUAUGACUCUAAAGAUCUAGGUACUGUAUCUGAAAAAUGUGUUUUCUAGGUCAGUGAUUCCCAAACAGUGUGCCGGGGGAAGUUAUCCAAUUUUAUGUAAUUGCUAAAAUGAAUAAUAAAAUUUAUUUACAAGAAAUAAUGUAUCUUUAUUCAUCUAUUUAUGUCCGUGAGGCAUAAUGACAGACAGAACAAAAAAAAAAAAAUCAUCUACUCGAUGGCAGAAAGUACAUACAGUAAUUAAUCGAUCCAUUUUUGGUGACAUUUACUUUUUUUGGUGUGCCGUGGGAUUUUUCAAUUGUAAAAUAUGUGCCUUGGCUCUAUAGAGGUUGGAAAUCACUGGUCUAGGUUGUCCUCUCUUCUGUCGUCGCACCACUGAAGCUCGGUAGCGGGAAUAAAAUUGACACGAAGCUUAGUUUGCUGCUAGGAAAGGUUUUUUUCUUUCUUUAAUUGACUCCUUUUUACGGACAACAUCAACGUCCUCCUCUCUUGAACACGACCGUCACUCUUUUUUUUCGUCUUCCUCCUCACACCUGCUCAGUCCGGUCCCCCACAGGCAAUAUGUACACGCCCAGCCACUUGGGCCUGCAGUCACGAUAGCCGUAACAAUAAAUAUAUUUAUGUCGAUUUUGAAUGUAGACAGAUUAAAAAAUGCGUUAAUUUUCCGGGAUUGAGGUCUUUAAAGUGUUUUAUUGGUUUAAAUGUUACGCACUUUUGUCUGUUAUUAAAUGACACAUAUCAAAUACCGUGGCCUAUUAAGAUAUUCAUUCUGAUUCACUAAUCAUUUUAAGUUUCGUGUAUUACCUCGGUGUUAUGUGUUACACUGCGUUUGAAAUAUAAAUACAUUAUUGAGGUACACUUAAAAUGUUGGCACUGAGGAAAAGAUUAAUAAUGAUUUGCUUUUCAGGGUGCCGAGUUUUCUCAUCUUGUCUAUAUCAGCUCUGAUGCCCCCCCCACCUCCACCCCCUCCACACACACAAACAGAGGGGAGUGUGCGUGUGAGGAGUGGAAGAGCUAGAGAGAGUGUGAGACAGAAAGAGGGAGAGACAGGGAGAGGAAUUUUUGAAGAAAGGCCACUUAUCCUCACAAGGGUCGCUGGAGUGCUGGAGCCUAUCCCAGCCGUCGACGGACAGGAGGCAAGGUUGCAGGUUCUGCAGGGCGAACAAAGAGCUGUUCUGUAGGCAUAGCGGGUCCGGCGUCACCGGCUGGUCGAUGGACUUCUGGAAGGCCUCCUGCUGCAGCUGCAUGAGGAUCCGGUUGGCUUGCUGCCUCUCCGCC
Syngnathoides biaculeatus (alligator pipefish) is the source of this 1904-nucleotide long non-coding RNA. RefSeq lists it as uncharacterized. Lineage: Eukaryota; Metazoa; Chordata; Actinopteri; Syngnathiformes; Syngnathidae. The transcript is spliced from 3 exons. The record is from RefSeq and is a predicted model, not a curated record.